This 450-nucleotide ribosomal RNA is filed under the name Lautropia mirabilis. RNAcentral's name for it is "bacterial SSU rRNA". It matches the Rfam family "Bacterial small subunit ribosomal RNA", at positions 29 to 474 of the family's 1533-position model. Lineage: Bacteria; Pseudomonadati; Pseudomonadota; Betaproteobacteria; Burkholderiales; Burkholderiaceae. The record is from RNAcentral.
AUUGAACGCUGGCGGCAUGCUUUACACAUGCAAGUCGAACGGCAGCGCGGGCUUCGGCCUGGCGGCGAGUGGCGAACGGGUGAGUAAUACAUCGGAACGUGCCCAGUAGUGGGGGAUAGCUCGGCGAAAGCCGGAUUAAUACCGCAUACGACCUGAGGGUGAAAGCGGGGGAUCUUCGGACCUCGCGCUAUUGGAGCGGCCGAUGGCAGAUUAGCUAGUUGGUGGGGUAAAGGCCUACCAAGGCGACGAUCUGUAGCUGGUCUGAGAGGACGACCAGCCACACUGGGACUGAGACACGGCCCAGACUCCUACGGGAGGCAGCAGUGGGGAAUUUUGGACAAUGGGCGAAAGCCUGAUCCAGCAAUGCCGCGUGUGUGAUGAAGGCCUUCGGGUUGUAAAGCACUUUUGGCGGGAACGAAAGGGACUGUGCCAAUACCACGGUCGAUGACG